AGAGUUUGAUCCUGGCUCAGGAUGAACGCUGGCGGCGUGCCUAAUACAUGCAAGUCGAGCGAACGGACGAGAAGCUUGCUUCUCUGAUGUUAGCGGCGGACGGGUGAGUAACACGUGGAUAACCUACCUAUAAGACUGGGAUAACUUCGGGAAACCGGAGCUAAUACCGGAUAAUAUUUUGAACCGCAUGGUUCAAAAGUGAAAGACGGUCUUGCUGUCACUUAUAGAUGGAUCCGCGCUGCAUUAGCUAGUUGGUAAGGUAACGGCUUACCAAGGCAACGAUGCAUAGCCGACCUGAGAGGGUGAUCGGCCACACUGGAACUGAGACACGGUCCAGACUCCUACGGGAGGCAGCAGUAGGGAAUCUUCCGCAAUGGGCGAAAGCCUGACGGAGCAACGCCGCGUGAGUGAUGAAGGUCUUCGGAUCGUAAAACUCUGUUAUUAGGGAAGAACAUAUGUGUAAGUAACUGUGCACAUCUUGACGGUACCUAAUCAGAAAGCCACGGCUAACUACGUGCCAGCAGCCGCGGUAAUACGUAGGUGGCAAGCGUUAUCCGGAAUUAUUGGGCGUAAAGCGCGCGUAGGCGGUUUUUUAAGUCUGAUGUGAAAGCCCACGGCUCAACCGUGGAGGGUCAUUGGAAACUGGAAAACUUGAGUGCAGAAGAGGAAAGUGGAAUUCCAUGUGUAGCGGUGAAAUGCGCAGAGAUAUGGAGGAACACCAGUGGCGAAGGCGACUUUCUGGUCUGUAACUGACGCUGAUGUGCGAAAGCGUGGGGAUCAAACAGGAUUAGAUACCCUGGUAGUCCACGCCGUAAACGAUGAGUGCUAAGUGUUAGGGGGUUUCCGCCCCUUAGUGCUGCAGCUAACGCAUUAAGCACUCCGCCUGGGGAGUACGACCGCAAGGUUGAAACUCAAAGGAAUUGACGGGGACCCGCACAAGCGGUGGAGCAUGUGGUUUAAUUCGAAGCAACGCGAAGAACCUUACCAAAUCUUGACAUCCUUUGACAACUCUAGAGAUAGAGCCUUCCCCUUCGGGGGACAAAGUGACAGGUGGUGCAUGGUUGUCGUCAGCUCGUGUCGUGAGAUGUUGGGUUAAGUCCCGCAACGAGCGCAACCCUUAAGCUUAGUUGCCAUCAUUAAGUUGGGCACUCUAAGUUGACUGCCGGUGACAAACCGGAGGAAGGUGGGGAUGACGUCAAAUCAUCAUGCCCCUUAUGAUUUGGGCUACACACGUGCUACAAUGGACAAUACAAAGGGCAGCGAAACCGCGAGGUCAAGCAAAUCCCAUAAAGUUGUUCUCAGUUCGGAUUGUAGUCUGCAACUCGACUACAUGAAGCUGGAAUCGCUAGUAAUCGUAGAUCAGCAUG
This 1367-nucleotide ribosomal RNA is filed under the name Staphylococcus aureus DAR3761. RNAcentral's name for it is "bacterial SSU rRNA". It matches the Rfam family "Bacterial small subunit ribosomal RNA", at positions 8 to 1356 of the family's 1533-position model. The record is from RNAcentral. Lineage: Bacteria; Bacillati; Bacillota; Bacilli; Caryophanales; Staphylococcaceae.